AUAUGGCACACCCUGGGGGGAUGAGAAUCCCCGACCGGGGUUCGACAACGGGCGCAGCCCGUUGGACGGAAUGGCCGCAGGGCGAGCGAAGCGAGUCAAUCCCCCCUCACCGCCA
RNAcentral lists this small RNA (115 nucleotides) under Citrobacter freundii complex sp. CFNIH2. Its description in RNAcentral is "RtT sRNA". It matches the Rfam family "RtT RNA". From Rfam's summary of the family: This family represents a bacterial cis-regulatory element known as RtT RNA. The exact function of RtT is unknown although it is thought that it may be involved in changing the cellular response in relation to amino acid starvation. The record is from RNAcentral. Lineage: Bacteria; Pseudomonadati; Pseudomonadota; Gammaproteobacteria; Enterobacterales; Enterobacteriaceae.